CGCGGCCUAUCAGCUUGUUGGUGAGGUAACGGCUCACCAAGGCGUCGACGGGUAGCCGGCCUGAGAGGGCGACCGGCCACACUGGGACUGAGAUACGGCCCAGACUCCUACGGGAGGCAGCGGUGGGGAAUAUUGCGCAAUGGGCGAAAGCCUGACGCAGCAACGCCGCGUGCGGGAUGACGGCCUUCGGGUUGUAAACCGCUUUCAGCAGGGACGAAGGGUUACCUUGACGGUACCUGCAGAAGAAGCACCGGCUAACUACGUGCCAGCAGCCGCGGUGAUACGUAGGGUGCGGGCGUUGUCCGGAAUUAUUGGGCGUAAAGAGCUUGUAGGCGGUCUGUUGCGUCGGAAGUGAAAACUCAGGGCUUAACCCUGAGCCUGCUUUCGAUACGGGCAGACUUGAGGGAUGUAGGGGAGAACGGAAUUCCUGGUGGAGCGGUGGAAUGCGCAGAUAUCAGGAGGAACACCAGUGGCGAAGGCGGUUCUCUGGACAUUUCCUGACGCUGAGAAGCGAAAGCGUGGGGAGCAAACAGGCUUAGAUACCCUGGUAGUCCACGCCGUAAACGGUGGGCACUAGGUGUGGGUUCCAUUCCACGGAAUCCGUGCCGAAGCUAACGCAUUAAGUGCCCCGCCUGGGGAGUACGG
Molecule: ribosomal RNA, 645 nt
Filed under: uncultured bacterium
Lineage: Bacteria
Description: bacterial SSU rRNA
Rfam family: Bacterial small subunit ribosomal RNA
Source: RNAcentral